RNAcentral lists this ribosomal RNA (964 nucleotides) under Protoblastenia rupestris. RNAcentral's name for it is "eukaryotic LSU rRNA". It matches the Rfam family "Eukaryotic large subunit ribosomal RNA", at positions 1 to 978 of the family's 3401-position model. The record is from RNAcentral. Lineage: Eukaryota; Fungi; Ascomycota; Lecanoromycetes; Lecanorales; Psoraceae.
GAUUGACCUCGGAUCGGGUAGGGAUACCCGCUGAACUUAAGCAUAUCAAUAAGCGGAGGAAAAGAAACCAACAGGGAUUGCCUCAGUAACGGCGAGUGAAGCGGCAACAGCUCAAAUUUGAAAUCUGGCUCGUUCCGGGUCCGAGUUGUAAUUUGUAGAGGGUGUUUCGGGUGCGGCGCCGGUCUAAGUCCCUUGGAACAGGGUGUCAUAGAGGGUGAGAACCCCGUAUGGGACCGGUGACCAACCCCAUGUGAAGCCCCUUCGACGAGUCGAGUUGUUUGGGAAUGCAGCUCAAAAUGGGUGGUAAAUUCCAUCUAAAGCUAAAUACCGGCCAGAGACCGAUAGCGCACAAGUAGAGUGAUCGAAAGAUGAAAAGCACUUUGGAAAGAGAGUUAAAAAGUACGUGAAAUUGUUGAAAGGGAAGCGCUUGCGACCAGACCUGCACUCGGGCGAUCAGCGGGCCCUUUCGGCCCCGUGCACUCGCCCGCGAGCAGGCCAGCAUCGGCCCCGGCGGUCGGAUAAAGGCUCGAAGAAUGUAGCUCCCUUCGGGGAGUGUUAUAGCUUCCCGCGCAAUACGGCCAGCCGGGACCGAGGACCGCGCUUCGGCUAGGAUGCUGGCGUAAUGGUUGUAAGCGACCCGUCUUGAAACACGGACCAAGGAGUCUAACAUCUAUGCGAGUGUUUGGGUGUCAAACCCGUGCGCGGAAUGAAAGUGAACGGAGGUGGGAACCCCGAAGGGCGCACCAUCGACCGAUCCAGAUGUCUUCGGAUGGAUUUGAGUACGAGCAUAGCUGUUGGGACCCGAAAGAUGGUGAACUAUGCCUGAAUAGGGUGAAGCCAGAGGAAACUCUGGUGGAGGCUCGCAGCGGUUCUGACGUGCAAAUCGAUCGUCAAAUUUGGGUAUAGGGGCGAAAGACUAAUCGAACCAUCUAGUAGCUGGUUCCUGCCGAAGUUUCCCUCAGGA